UGGGGAAUCUUGGACAAUGGGGGCAACCCUGAUCCAGCCAUGCCGCGUGGGUGAAGAAGGCCUUAGGGUUGUAAAGCCCUUUCAGUCGUGACGAUGAUGACGGUAGCGACAGAAGAAGCCCCGGGUAACUCCGUGCCAGCGGCCGCGCAAAAACGGAGGGGGCAAGCGAUGUUCGGAUUUACUGGGCGUAAAGGGCGCGUAGGCGGACGAUCAAGUCAGAGGUGAAAGGCCCGGGCUCAACCUGGGACGUGCCUUUGAAACUGAUUGUCUUGAGUGCGGAAGAGGGUGACGGAAUUCCCAGUGUAGAGGUGAAAGUCGUAGAUAUUGGGAAGAACACCGGUGGCGAAGGCGGUCACCUGGUCCGCAACUGACGCUGAGGCGCGAGAGCGUGGGGAGCAAACAGGAUUAGAUACCCCCGUAGUCC
Molecule: ribosomal RNA, 424 nt
Filed under: uncultured prokaryote
Description: bacterial SSU rRNA
Rfam family: Bacterial small subunit ribosomal RNA
Source: RNAcentral